GUCUACAGCCAUACCACCCUGAAGGCGCCCGAUCUUGUCUGAUCUCGGAAGCUAAGCAGGGUCGGGCCUGGUUAGUACUUGGAUGGGCGAGUAGAUGGAAGAAGAGGCAAGGAUAUACA
This 119-nucleotide ribosomal RNA is filed under the name Octodon degus (degu). The record is from RNAcentral. Lineage: Eukaryota; Metazoa; Chordata; Mammalia; Rodentia; Octodontidae.